Schistocerca gregaria is the source of this 633-nucleotide long non-coding RNA. RefSeq lists it as uncharacterized. The record is from RefSeq and is a predicted model, not a curated record. NCBI's taxonomy places the organism in Eukaryota, Metazoa, Arthropoda, Insecta, Orthoptera, Acrididae. The transcript has 2 exons.
UUAAUGGUAAUUCUGAGUAACUAUGUUCUGCAGGAGGGUUAUUUUGUAGUCAUUCUGUUGAUCUUCUUAUGUUAGCUCUAAAUAUAAUUGCUCGGUUUGUAACCAUUCUUUCUCAUAUAAUUACAAUGAAUAUAAUGAUUCCUACAAUAGAAAUUGUAGACACAAUUCUUGAUACUACAUUUCAUGAUGUAUAUGCGUCUGGGUAGUCUGAGUAUCGUCGAGGUAUUCCUGCUAAUCCUAGGAAGUGUUGAGGAAAGAAUGUUAAGUUUACUCCAAUGAAUAUAAUUGUAAAUUGAAUUUUUAAUCAUGUAUUAUUUAUAGUUAAUCCUGUAAAUAGUGGAUAUCAUUGAAUGACACCUCCUAUAAUUGCAAAUACUGCUCCUAUAGAUAAUACAUAAUGAAAGUGGGCUACUACAUAAUAUGUAUCAUGUAAUACAAUAUCAAGUGAUGAAUUUGCUAAUACUAAUCCUGCUAAUCCACCAAUUGUAAAUAGGAAAAUAAAUCCUAGAGCUCAUAAUAAUGGUGGAUUGAACUUGAAUUUAGUUCCAUAUAAUGUAGCUAAUCAUCUAAAUACCUUAAUUCCUGUGGGUACAGCAAUAAUUAUUGUUGCUGAUGUAAAAUAUGCUCGUGUGU